RNAcentral lists this ribosomal RNA (381 nucleotides) under Triticum aestivum (bread wheat). RNAcentral's name for it is "partial small subunit ribosomal RNA". The record is from RNAcentral. Lineage: Eukaryota; Viridiplantae; Streptophyta; Magnoliopsida; Poales; Poaceae.
AUGGCAGCCGCAGCGGCGGGUGAGAACAGCAAGUUAACUGUAGUGAGAAAGACGGGGGAGGGCAAGUUCAUGGCAACGAUCAAGCACCCGGUGACGAAGACACAGUUGUGGCUGGGGACGUACUCUUCCCCCGAGGUCACCGCAUGCGCCUACGACCUCGCGGCUAGGGAGCUGAAGGGCAUAAAGGCAAAGCUCAACUUCCCCUACCCUCCGCCAGCCAGACUGGUUAAGGAGGUGAUCGCUGCACCGAGGCACCGCAGCCAUGGUCACGACACACCGCUCUUUGAAGUCGUUAUAAGGGAAUCAUGGAACAUCUCAACCAGCCCACUUGUUUCAGUAGGCAUUGUUGCUAUUUUUAUGAGUAAGGAAGUUUUCAUGUGA